Long non-coding RNA from Tigriopus californicus, 7315 nucleotides. RefSeq lists it as uncharacterized. The transcript is spliced from 4 exons. The record is from RefSeq and is a predicted model, not a curated record. Lineage: Eukaryota; Metazoa; Arthropoda; Copepoda; Harpacticoida; Harpacticidae.
UUGAGCCCGUUUCUAACUCCUUCCCUGUCAUAAUGAACUAGGCUCGUCGAGACGGGUAUCGGAAUCCAAUCAAUUUCUCAUUUCCAGCCCAGCUCAUAACUUAUCAUAAAUGCAAUCCGUCACCCUCAGCCCUGUUGUUGUGUAACUUGAAAAUUAGCGGCCAAAAACUUUCUUCGACAUGUGGGAAUCGUGGUUCAACGAGCUGAUAACGGUCCUCCAGCAUCGAUUCGAAAUUGAACCGGAGAAAUUCGUCCUUCCAGUGACGGAAUGAUAGAUUUUCAUCCCUCGUUCACCCCAACGCCAGACAGGACUAAGUCGAGAUAAUGGAUGCACUGAUGUGUAUGUGUGCUGACCGAACCUUUGGGUGGGGUCGUCGGUCAAGGACUGAGAGCUGCAGACCACCAAGCGGAUCCGAGGACGCAGGUCAAACACGUUUUAUACUUCUUAACACCAAUGAAGAUGUUGGAAGGCUCCUAGGAUUGGGAUUUUAUCUUUAGGCCAGUGGUAAAAAAAACGACGGGUGAAUAUGGAGCCCGGAUGGCUGCAGGGAGAUGAGGUAUGAUAAUGGGCCAAUUGAAGGGCUGUAAGGCAGGUAAGCGAGUGUCCAGCCUGGAAGACCCAAUUUGUCCGAGCUUGUUGGUGGGCUCCUCAGCAUCAUUUUCGGGCUUUUCGUGAGCUUUUUAGCAAAUUUAUGGCCCUAAUCAGUAAUUGAGAUGGAUGAUCCCCACUCACCAAGUCCGACGCCGCCUUGUGUCUUUCAUUCUGAAAGGCGAAAAAGCUAUUUAGAACCAAUUCGGGAAGACUGGAUACAAUUCGAGGAUACUUAUAUCUGUUCCAAAAGAGGUUUUACAAGAAAUUGGUAGCCCUGGGAGUGCUUCCAGAAGUUUUAGAAAUUCCUCCGUGGCUUCCCUCGAUGUCUGUUUUGCAUUGCCAAUUUCUGCCAAACAGACACUGUUAUUAUAAGAUUGUAAGAGGACCUACUUUUCCUCAGCAACCGGAGAACGAGCAAAAAUUCUUUCAUCAUAAUUAGCCAAAGCACGCUGUUGAUACCGGGCGCUCCAAGUCUCCGACUGACCCACCCCAAAGGUUUUGCGCUAUCUCCUGAGACGAUUUGGUCUUUGGGGGACUCUCUGGAUCCUCUUAUUCUACAAUUGUCCGUGAUUUCCACCAUCUUAUGGUUUUAUAUCCCUCAUUGUCCUAAGGAGGUGGCAAGCCGACUCAAAGAAAAACCGUCAAAACAUGUCGUUAAACCGGAAACCAGGGCUUGUCUGCUUGAUCGUCGUCGUCGUCGUCGAAGUCGUCGAAGUCGUCUUCUCAUUUCAGGGUGAAAAAUACGGAAUAUCACACCUUAUAAGUCCAAUUUGGCCCGGCCCGAGAAGUGCCUGCAGAGGAUUGGGAGGGUAAUUAAGGAGACACAGGGGAGUCAAAUUAUCCACCCUCGAUUGGUGGGUGCAAGCGGUGCUGCAUGCAAGUCGGGAGGAUCGAACAGCGGCCGGAUGGCCGGAUGCCUUUUCUCUGGUGCUGACGAAGAACUUGACUUGAAACCUUGGGCGAGGAGGACCACACCGGGUGUGACCUAUCUAUCUUUUCUAUUGAAAAAAUGCAGUUGGAAAUUGCCCUGAGAUCAGAGCGAGAGCACAGGAAGCAAUCUGGUCCAUCAGAGGGCAAGAUUGGGAGGAACCCACGCUGGCAUCAAUAUUUUCAUCCUGGCUUGCAUUUCCCUCACGUAAUGAGAAGAGUGUCGUUCGAGAUGUGCUCGAACUUGAAGAUUGACAGCGAUCAAACUUAGGAAAGAAAUAUGCGAGCAUGUAUGAACCCGUGUUUUGGCUAGUGUUUCAUUGCUAUUGUUGGUCGUAUGUGUGGACUAUUGAGGAUUAUUUAGGCAAUUUAUAUUGCUCUUGUUCUCAAAUUGCCCUCAUUUGGAAGCACUGCCUCCCAACAAUGAAUGACAACGACCAUACUGGGGACAGCACUAGUACAGUCGAGAAUCCGCCCCAAUAGCCCGUCUACAUGGGGAGGCUCAGAAUGAAUGUAAAAGUGUGCGGUUGAGAGUGACACGAAAAUAAUAAACAGAGGACCCAACCUCUGUUGUGAUAUCCUUGGCACAGUUUCUCUUGUCCACCCGGCAACGCUUCUUUCUUCAUCCAGUUUCAAAAUGAAUGGGAAAGCUAUACACAUACAAAUGCGAGACUCCAGGCAUCUUUACCCGCUCUAAAAAAUGGGAACCUCAUUUGUAACCAUCUUCGGGGUAUCUGGAAAUUAGUCAGGAUCAUGAGGAUCACUUGAAUUUCCUGCCCUCCAUCUCUGGCAUUCCUUUGAAUUCGGUUGAAGGCUUCUGGUGGGUUUUGAUUUAUGCGGCACAUGCACGUAGUUCAAUUCGGAUUUGAAAUGUGGAAACUACUCCAUCGUGUCUGGGUGUGUUUGGAAAUUCUUAAUUCCGAACUGCCUCCACACUGAAGUCAAAGGGUUCCACAUGAGGCAUGACCAAACGAUGUUGAAUAGUGGACUUGAUUUCAGACCACUUCAUCCCAAACGAUUUCCCUCCAAAAUUCUCAUUCAUCACCAAGAAGUCGCAGCACCAAAACCUCGGGAGGUCAUCUAUGGGUCUGGCUUCAUUAUUUACGUAUUGGAAAUGGCACAAGAGGGGUUUUCGAUCUAUAUCAAGCAGAACCACUCCUCAACUCUGCUUGGACUUGAUCAGACAUUUAAUAUUCCCAGAUAUCUUACAUUUGGAUUGUCCAACGAUGCCGAGGGCAUUGACAUCUCGCCCAGCCGAGAUUAGAUUUGAACAUGAAAACGACAUUGGUUAAGUAAAAUAAAUUAUAUGCUAAUAGUAGGGGGGCUCUCCCUCCUCCUCCUCCUUCUCUUACGCCUCCAUUCCUCCCUUGAGUCCAGAGGAACGAAGAGACGGGACCCAUUUGAGGGUAUGCUUUGGCCAACCCGAGGAGUCCAUCCGUCAAGUAAAUUUUACACUCUAUUUGAACAGCCCAUAAAUUAGGGAAUGACACAAAAGCAGUUUAGCAUAUGGCAAAUGGGAACAAUCAUCUUCUACGGGAUUAGUUGAGAACUUUCAUCAUCGAUACAUAUAUUUCUUCAGAGGGCAAAACAUGAAGGAUAUACGUACGCGUAAAUGCCUCCAAAAUGUGGCUUCAACACAAAAAUUCCGUUUCGUCUUGGACUUUUUUGUUGAGUGCACCGAGAUUUUCAUCAUUAGCUGUCCAUUGUAUUGUGCAGAAGCCAUAGAGCAGUUUGGUGUUGCUUCUUCGGGUGGGUCGCAAUUUCUGGAUUACUGACAUUUACGAUAGCGCUUUGAAUGGGUCCAUUGAGAGAGGCCAGCAUUCAGGGAGAUGUCGUCACCUCCACGAGAUUGGGGAAUUAAAAUAGUUCACCUCUUCUCGAGAACAUGGAAGUGACGAGUUAAGAGUGCAAAGGCGAGUUAUUUAUUGAGCUUUCGCCCAAGGUGUGGGUCCUUGUUACGUGCUCUGCUACGUUCAAACGAACUUUACUCUCUGCCACAGGAGAGAUGUCAAAGAUGUCAGCGGCCCAACCUUAAUGAGAAGAACGGCCAAGAUGGUAUGAACUGGCGGCUUAAAGCAUGAACAUUCAAGAUUCAUUUAUGCUUAAAAAAAACCAUGAGCUUCAGACCCGGACAAGCCAAGAAGAGUUGGAGAAUCGCCACAUGGUCACAUUUUCGCCUCCAGGCUUGGAACCGACCGCGACGAAAAUUGUUGAGCAAUGUGCCAGAAAUACUUGGAAUAUUGGGUCAGAUGACCGAGCGAGCCCAGAGCCGGACCCGAUUGAGCCGUAAUCAUGAAAACGGAUGCCAAAAAGACGGAUUAUGUUCUUGACUCGAGGGUAUUAGUUAACGCAAUCGCUGACCCUUGAAUGUGUUAAACCAUAACGCUCGAAUAUCUCUGCUGACCUUAAGCCCAUCGUUGUUGUCGUCUUUGUCGCUGUUGUCGCGGAUGGAGUGCCAAAGAGUACUACUUACUAGGAAUACUACGUACUUCGCUGGGACAAUCCAGCUGCUCCCGAUAUUCGACCACUGGAACUGUUCACUUUUUCACCCUUUCGUGGUCAAGUGAUCAGUUGGAAGAAGUACGCAAGUAAGAACGAGAAAAGGGUUGGAAAUGCUCCCCUCGGUGUCGUUGGCAUAUUUUUUACCUAAAAGAAAACAUUUUAAAAGGAAGCCAUCACCAUAAAAUAUACCGAACUGGAAAAGAGAGAGAGAGAGAUAGAACGAGGAGACUCGCAUUCGUUCCUACAUAAAGCUAAUCGAAAUGCACUGGUCAACCCGAAGAAGCUCAUGCAAAUCUUGGCCCCCCCUCUCGAAGGUUUAAAAGCUAGAAAAGAAAAGAGGAGCACAAUUAUCUCUGAGAUUCAAAGAAUCUCUUUUUGCCCCUCAAAAGUGCUCAAGAAAGGAGAGGCGCUUUGCAUGUUGAUUGGAAGAAAUAACGCUCUGUCUACCCUCCUCAAAUGGUCCGAUUGCCGUUAUGCUGUUAUUGGUUUGAAAAACACAAAUUAGACCUUUUGUGGGCACGGAUUUGUGUCUCUGACCGUUUCUCGACGCCAUCACAAGCAACAAUCCGUGAACAGCGAAGCACACCAAGCAUGCCUUGUUCCAAUUCCCCGGUGAUGAUGUUGAUCUAGGAAUCAUCGCCUUAAGAAAGAAAUGGCAUGCGUGUCAAAGUCGAACUCAUCCACCCAUAAUAUCAGGGCCCAAUCAUCGAUCUUGAGGCCAUUCAAGCGACAUCUUGACAGCUUGAUGCGUCCACAAAUGAUUUGUUUUCCCCAUGCCCUUUUAUGUCGACGUGUUGAUGGCCAUAGAGUUACGAACCUAGAGAGCGUUUCUUGGUAUACAAGGGGGUUCACUCGCAAUUAUCAAGCUAGAUUACUUCCAUUUUGGUGCAAGGGUCGAAUCAGGACUGGAAGUUACCUAGAGAUAAGUGGAAAAAGGUUGCACAUAUCGACAUGUGGUUUAGAUAUUUCCUAGACUCAUUUGAAGGAGUCAUCUUGUAUCAGUUUUUUACCAAAAAAAUACAAAUUCUUUAUUUGUCUUAAGUCUAAGCAUGUUUGCAAAGUCCAUUCCUCGACAUUUAAUUGAGCAGUUUUUCAAUUCAAGAACAGACACCCGCCAAUUUUUUUUUUUUGCAACAGCGCUUCAUUAUCUGUAAAACAGACAUCUUUAAAAUUGUUUAGUUCUUCAAAAAUCUUAAUUAAAAAAAGUUUUAAAAUCUUUAAAACUUAGAAAUUUUUAGUUCGACCAAACUGAAGCUCAAAAAGCAGUUUUUUGCAUUUCCAUGAAUCAACAUUUUUAACAUGAUAGUUAAAAUGAUAGAUAAUGUAAAUGAAACAGAGCGGGAAAAGUGGAUUCAAAUGGAUAUAGAAGAGGAAGUUAUUCAUUUUCCAGCGAGAUUACUGCCUUGUACCGUAUACUUAAUGCGCCAUUUUGACCAGCUUGGCAGAAUUGACAAAGAACUUUAGGACCAUUAUUUGGAUCAUCAUUAAAAUCAGCACAUUUAUAACUAAACUAGUCCCAUGGAUGCAUACAUUACUGAAAGUAGACACAACCCACAAGGAAAUAUGUAAACGUCCACAAUUAAGCAUUCAAAUUGUACACAAGAUGCGCAUAGAAAACUCAUUUUUGGUGUGCUGGACCAAGUCGUCGCCAUUAGGUUGUCAAGAGUCGUUGGCCACUCUUUUAUCUCUUUGUCGAGAUCCAAUCCAAAUCCAAAUUCCUUUACUUUCUACCCUCAAGUCGAGAUUGUGGCCAGUCGUUUGUGUUAGGACACACAUGAAAGAGACAUGUAUUUAUAUAUUUGUCCGAGUCCACAAUCUCAACUGACUUUUGUCACUCCCUCUCUUUCUGGUGGAGGACACAGAAUAACAAGAUGCUUUUGAAGUUUAGUCAUGCAAACACAUUAUUCCGUCUCCUCCUUUACAAAGCAGUCCACAGAUCGCAGUUUGCCGAAGGUUUCAGUCGAUCGGUGGGUCCUUGGUUGAGGAGCGGUUGUUGCUUCGCCACAUUGUGAUCCAUGUGAGUUUGUUUGUUACAACAUGAUGGAUUGAUUGGAUGCAUAUAAUGACUUGAGAGAUCUCCCAAGCAUUCGGAACGUUAGAACUACUCGUACGUACGUACACACAUACUCACAAACACACACACACACAGGCCUCUCUUUCUCCCCCUUGCACACAUGUGAAAUCUUGUUUUUUCCUCCACUCCCCAUCUAUCAAAACGGGCAUAAAUUUACAAAUGCAACACUCCCCAUUUAUUAUUGAUUCUCGAGCUACUCUCUUCAAUCCCGAAAAAAACGAGCCUCAAAUGAUGGAUCAGAAAAUCGAAUGUUUGAAGCAUUCUCCCCGUUUAUUACCCUUGGAUAUAUUUACUUAACUGGGGGAGGAGGAGGAGGCGGCGAAGGACAACUACAGUAGAGAAAGAGCUUGGUACAACAUCAGUAUUGUACUAAUACUUGUUCAAACCGGGUGAGUCAGUGCAACAGGCAUCCUCUCUCUCUCUUUCUCUGUUCUCUUCCUUCCCCUUUCAUUCCCCUUCGCCGAAUGGGAUUAGAGUGACACAUCCAUUUUUCUGGAGUGAUGCCCUCAUUCAAAAUUGAGAAUAAAAUUUUCCAACGUCUUUUUAUGUGUUUCUGGCCAUUUCUUUGGGUUGUAAACUUGUGAUUUUAUAGAGAAUUAAGGUCACGAACACCAGUUGAUUUCGAGUGAUGGGAGAGAUGGGAGAUCGGAAAUUGAAAGUUUUGGCCCUUCAGCAGCUGUCUGUAUGUCUAUCUAUCUGUAGGAGUACUUAUCUAUGUGGGGGUGAAGGCACGGUGACAGUUGCUGAGCUGCUCAGCGAACCCUUUAUUUGAUUACACUUCAGUAAAUAGUAGUCUGUGAUGAGAAGAUUGUAGGUGAUUUGACACAAAAGUGAACUGAGAUGACUCAUUAAAAUCUCUCGGAUCGCGCUUCUCGUUCAACCAACAAUUGGUUCUUUGGCUAUUCAACGUUCAACUCACUCACACACUCACACUCUCUCUCUCUCUCUCUCUUUCUCUUUCUGUUGUUCAAUGAACUAUUGAUUCUCUCUUCCACAUAUGGCGGUGAACCAAUUUGAGGUUCGUGCGGUUGCUCUCAAUCUAUCGCAGUAUUAGUAAUGAUAACCAUCACGCACCAAGCUCCUUCUUGUACCAACCAUUGUAUUGCUUUCCAAAUGAAAUACAUCGAUUAAAAGACCUAAAGUAGGUGCCAAAAGUCGGCAAUGUUCUGAAGGGCAUCUCGCAUUCGUCAGAAGUUUUAAACAGAUAAGUGCAACAUGACA